This 498-nucleotide ribosomal RNA is filed under the name uncultured bacterium. RNAcentral's name for it is "partial 16S ribosomal RNA". It matches the Rfam family "Bacterial small subunit ribosomal RNA", at positions 28 to 523 of the family's 1533-position model. The record is from RNAcentral.
GAUGAACGCUAGCUACAGGCUUAACACAUGCAAGUCGAGGGGUAGCAGGGUAGCAAUACCGCUGACGACCGGCGCACGGGUGAGUAACACGUAUCCAACCUUCCCAUAACUCAGGGAUAGCCUUUCGAAAGAAAGAUUAAUACCUGAUAGUACUUAAGAAAGGCAUCUUUUUUAAGUUAAAGAUUUAUUGGUUAUGGAUGGUGAUGCGUUCCAUUAGAUAGUUGGUGAGGUAACGGCUCACCAAGUCUUCGAUGGAUAGGGGUUCUGAGAGGAAGGUCCCCCACAUUGGUACUGAGACACGGACCAAACUCCUACGGGAGGCAGCAGUGAGGAAUAUUGGUCAAUGGGCGAGAGCCUGAACCAGCCAAGUAGCGUGAAGGAUGAAGGUCCUAUGGAUUGUAAACUUCUUUUAUAGUAGAAUAAAGUGAGCCACGUGUGGUUUUUUGUAUGUAUACUAUGAAUAAGGAUCGGCUAACUCCGUGCCAGCCGCCGCCGUAA